CCUACGGGGGGCUGCAGUGGGGAAUAUUGGACAAUGGGCGAAAGCCUGAUCCAGCCAUGCCGCGUGUGUGAAGAAGUCCUUCGGGUUGUAAAGCACUUUCAGUGGGGAAGAAAGCCUUGGGGCUAAUACCCUCGAGGAAGGACAUCACCCACAGAAGAAGCACCGGCUAACUCCGUGCCAGCAGCCGCGGUAAUACGGAGGUGCGAGCGUUAAUCGGAAUUACUGGGCGUAAAGCGCGCGUAGGCGGUCUGAUAAGCCGGUUGUGAAAGCCCCGGGAUCAACCGGGGAAAGGCAUCCGGAACUGUCAGGCUAGAGUGCAGGAGAGGAAGGUAGAAUUCCCGGUGUAGCGGUGAAAUGCGUAGAGAUCGGGAGGAAUACCAGUGGCGAAGGCGGCCUUCUGGACUGACACUGACGCUGAGGUGCGAAAGCGUGGGUAGCAAACAGGAUUAGAUACCCUGGUAGUC
This 464-nucleotide ribosomal RNA is filed under the name Vreelandella stevensii. Its description in RNAcentral is "partial 16S ribosomal RNA". It matches the Rfam family "Bacterial small subunit ribosomal RNA", at positions 338 to 795 of the family's 1533-position model. The record is from RNAcentral. Lineage: Bacteria; Pseudomonadati; Pseudomonadota; Gammaproteobacteria; Oceanospirillales; Halomonadaceae.